RNA transcript from Malania oleifera, 3895 nucleotides. It is a transcript of the gene named histone-lysine N-methyltransferase, H3 lysine-9 specific SUVH6-like, with no coding region annotated. NCBI's taxonomy places the organism in Eukaryota, Viridiplantae, Streptophyta, Magnoliopsida, Santalales, Ximeniaceae. The transcript is spliced from 5 exons. The record is from RefSeq and is a predicted model, not a curated record.
GCACUCCACUAACGGUUGAAGAGGGUGCCCACGCCUUCAGCCUGCAAAUUCUGUUGAUUUAUCAUCUAACAUCGUCUUCGGUUGUAUGCAGAGCUCUUGAACCCUAAAAUCUCAGCAAUCAUUGGCAUCUUUGUUUUGACGAGUAUCAGGUGCUUUACUUUUCUACUUGAAUGGUGGACGUGCAAGAUAUGGGGUAUUCAGAAAAACUUCCAUUGGAAAAUGGUGACAUUUCUUGUCAAGUUGUUCUUCCAAAGUUUAAGAGGCGGAAGGUUUCUGCAGUUCGCGAUUUUCCCCCAGGAUGUGGCCCAAAUGCCCCAAAAAUCAAUAUAAAGCCGACAGAAGCUACAGUACCUUCUGUUGUCGAGGAGAAUUCGGUGGGUGUGGAAAAGAAAUGUGAUGCUUUGGAGGUUGGGACUGCAAAAAUAUCGGAAAAUGAGGUUGAUUUUCAAUCUACUGAAUCCUCAAAAGGCUUAGCUCCAAUGGAUACGCCUGUAUUGUUGAAUGAUUUGGAGUCUAAGGAAGGAAAGGCUGUGGUCCAGUCUGAAAUUACUGGAGGUGGGGAAUUGGUGAAUGUGGAGUGCCUGGGAAUAGAGUUUCCGGUGGCUUCAAAUAAUGUGGUGAUUGAACCCUCAAAGGAAUUGGAGUAUAAUACCGUUGAAUUGUCAAAUAGUCGACAGCCAGCAGAAUGUUUUGGCUUAGUAAAAAAUGCAGAUGCAUUGGAAAGGAAAAAUGUGUUGAAAGGUGAGGGUCUAGAUGAAAACAUGCUCUCAGGAAGUCUGAAACAAGUAUCAUCACCUACAUGGCCUGCUGCUGGUGCCAUUGUUGAGAAUAAUGUAACAAAAAAAUAUCCUCCUCGAAGGAGAAUUUCAGCCACCCGAGACUUCCCUCCAUUGUGUGGAAGGCAUGUUGCUGAACUUGCCAAGGACAAAUGCUUGAAAGCUACUGCUUAUUCUGAGAACAAGAUUUUGGGUGAGGAUAAAUCUAGUAUGGAACAUAAGUUGAUGGAAGAAAUGGUAAAGACUGAUGUUAAACGAAAUGGAGAAAAUGUUGAGGAUGGAGUUUCUGUCAGGAACAAAAUGGGAGGAAUUGUCUCUAAAGAGACUGAGAACAAGGAUCUUGCUGAACCUGGAACGGGUACUGCUAGAGAAAUGGACAUGCAAGUUCAACCCAAAACAUCUCCCAAGAUUAGGGCAGUACAGGAUGAUACAAAAAUGAAGAGUGUCAAACGUCCUCAAGAGAGUAAUUUGCGCCAACAAGACCAUGAGUACCUGGCAGUUGAUAAGAUUAGAAACACAAAUGUUGGAAGUUUUGAGGAGAAAGCUAAGAGGGAACCUGUGACUGUAUCAAAAGAAAAAAGUUCUAAAAGAAGGUUUUCUGCAACAACUGGUGGUGUGAAUCAACCGCAAUUAGAAGAUCCUAGUGGUUUGGAAACUGCAUCAGGCAUGGUGAUUGUGCUAGGGUUAAUGGCUGCCCCAUAUUGUCCCUGGAGACAGGGGAAGGGAGCAAAUAAACCUAAUUUAGCAGGUGGUACAAGUGGAAGCAAAGGAAAGAAGAAUGAUUUUGCCAGCAAAGCAAAAGGCUCAUCUAGUUCUGCAACGAAGAAGAAUGGAUCAGAGAAGUUAGGAGGAAAAUCUUUGAAGAAAGCAACUCCAACAGGAAAGGGUUUUCACAAAGUUAUGAAUCAGUCAGUAGUCAGGGAUGCAGAAGAUUCUAGUGAGGAUGAUGAAGGACAUGGAGAUUAUCGUAUAGUUCAAAGAUCACAGCAUAUGAAUGUGAGCAUGCUACCAUUUUUUGGUUUGAUUACAAGUGGUGAUCAUGAUGCUACAGUAACCCGAAGCAAGGUGAGAGAGACUUUACGUUUGUUUCAAGCUAUCUGCCGAAAACUCUUGCAGGAAGAAGAAGCAAGGUCCAAGGAAGAAAGAAAUAUGAAGAGGAUUGACCUACUAGCAGCUAGGAUUCUUAAGGAUAAAGGGAAAUAUGUUAACACAGGCAAACAAAUAAUUGGUAUUGUUGCUGGAGUAGAAGUUGGCGAUGAGUUCCAGUACAGGGUGGAACUUACUAUUAUUGGUCUUCAUCGCCAAAUGCAAAGUGGUAUUGAUUACUUGAAGAAAGAUGGCAAAAUAAUUGCCUCAAGUAUCGUAGCUUCUGGUGGUUAUGCUGAUGAUUUAGAUAAUCCUGAUCUUUUAAUAUACUCAGGUUCAGGGGGGAAUGUGACUAGUGGGGAUAAACAACCUGAAGAUCAAAAGCUUGAGCGGGGAAACUUAGCAUUGAAGAAUAGCAUAGAUGCAAAAAAUCCUGUAAGGGUUAUACGUGGAUUUAAAGAGUCAAAGGCUUCUGACUCCUCAGAUGCAAGAGCAAAGAUAGUGUCGACAUACACUUAUGAUGGUUUGUAUCUGGUGGAAAAGUUUUGGCAAGAAAUGGGGCAGCACGGGAAGUUGGUCUUCAAGUUUCAGUUGAGAAGAAUUUCAGAUCAGCCAGAGCUUGCUUGGAGAGAAGUGAAGAAGUCUAAAAAAUUUAAAGUAAGGGAGGGCAUUUGUGCGAAUGAUAUUUCAGAAGGGAAGGAGUUAAUGACCAUUUGUGCCGUGAACACAUUAGAUGAUGAGAAACCCCCACCAUUUACAUACAUAACAAGUAUGAAAUAUCCAUCUUGGUACUGUCCUCCUCUUCUUGGGGGCUGUGAUUGUAUUGAUGGAUGUUCUGAUUCUGAGAGAUGUUCUUGUGCAGUCAAGAAUGGAGGAGAGAUCCCAUACAACCACAAUGGGGCUAUUGUUGAAGCAAAGCCCCUUGUCUAUGAAUGUGGUUCUUCAUGCAAGUGCCCUCCUUCUUGCCAUAACAGAGUCAGUCAGAAUGGUAUUAAAUUUCAACUUGAAAUCUUUAAAACUGAAUCAAGAGGGUGGGGUGUCAGAUCGCUGAAUUCCAUUCCUUCUGGCAGUUUUAUAUGCGAGUAUGCUGGAGAGCUCCUUGAAGAAAAGGAAGCCGAGCAAAGAACUGGUAAUGAUGAGUAUCUUUUUGAUAUUGGUCAUAACUACAAUGAUCAUACCUUAUGGGGUGGACUUGCAAGUCUCAUGCCUGAUGCACAAUCAAGUUCCUGUGAAGGUGUGGAGGAUGGUGGUUUCACCAUUGAUGCAGCAGAGUUUGGAAGCGUUGCGAGAUUCAUCAACCAUAGUUGUUCCCCUAAUCUUUAUGCUCAAAAUGUCCUUUAUGAUCGUGGGGACAAGAGAAUGCCUCACAUAAUGCUGUUUGCUGCUGAGAACAUUCCUCCUUUACAAGAGCUUACAUACCAUUACAAUUAUGCUAUAGAUCAAGUUCGCGAUUCUGAUGGCAACAUCAAGAAGAAAACAUGCUAUUGUGGUUCCCUAGAGUGCACUGGUAGGAUGUAUUAAGGCAGAUUGUUGCAGAAAAAUAUUGGCUUUCUUAUGAAUUGGAGAUUCCUUGUUUCUCUGCUGGUUCAGGUGAGCACCACAGGUAUUUUUCGGGGUCUCUGUUGGCGUAGUUCAAGAAAUCAGUGGAUCGAGAAAUGGAAGAUGCCGUUAGAAUCCUGGUUCUGCUACCAACAUUUCUACUAGAGCAGAUUUUUCAUGGGAACGGUUUAGGCACUGCUCUUGGGGAAAGGAUUUCCUCGAGAUCGAACUUUAAGAGUUUGAGGUUUUUAUAGCAUUAUUGGAGAAUAGAAAAAGAAAAUGGUAUAUUUCUAUUUUAAUUUUGGGAUGCAAAUAUUAAGUUUUACGUCCUUAUAUUUUAAGUCUGUGGAGAAAAGAAAGUUUGUGAACAUACUAGAAAUGUUUUGGAGAUAUAUGUAAUUAUGGAAAUACAGGUGUUGAAGAAUAUUAUGAUCUAUGGAUAAAAGUAGGAAACUCUGGUAUUAUUUGUAUAAUUGAGGUUCAUAGUUGUGUUU